GAUGAAGAACGCAGCGAAAUGCGAUACUUGGUGUGAAUUGCAGAAUCCCGUGAACCAUCGAGUCUUUGAACGCAAGUUGCGCCCGAAGCCAUUAGGCCGAGGGCACGCCUGCCUGGGCGUCACACGUCGUUGCCCCCCCCCAUCUACUCCUUCGGGAUUGCGGGGGGCGGAUGAUGGCCUCCCGUGCGCCUCGCCGCGCGGUUGGCAUAAAUGCCAAGUCCUCGGCGACGCACGCCACGACAAUCGGUGGUUGCGAAACCUCGGUUGCCCGUCGUGUGCGGUCGUCGCGCAUCGAGGGCUCGAAAAAAUUGCCGGGUUCCGGCUCGGCUUUCAACGCGACCCCAGGUCAGGCGGGGUUACCCGCUGAAUUUAAGCAUAUCAAUAAGCGGAGGA
RNAcentral lists this unclassified non-coding RNA (393 nucleotides) under soil metagenome. RNAcentral's name for it is "partial contains 5.8S ribosomal RNA, internal transcribed spacer 2, and large subunit ribosomal RNA". The stretch from base 1 to 122 matches the Rfam family "5.8S ribosomal RNA", at positions 35 to 154 of the family's 154-position model. The record is from RNAcentral.